UGUUGAUACAGAAGAAGUGUCAGUGAUGGAGGGAGAUUCAGUCACUAUAUGCACUCAUGUUAAUAUAAACCAGCAAGAAAAGAUUAGAUGGUAUUUUAAUGACGAUCUCAUCGCUCACAUCAAUAGAAGUCUCAGUGACAUCUGUACAGAUGUUCAGUGUAAUAAUGGCACUGGGAGAUUCAGAGACAGACUGAAGCUGGAUCAUCAGACUGGAUCUCUGACCAUCACAAACAUCAUAGACACAGACUCUGGAAAUUAUACACUAAUCAUCGUGAAAGGCAGCGACAGUCAAAAGAUCUUCAAAGUUUCUGUUCAUGGUGUUUCUGCUGCUAAACGAGAUGAAAUGAAAAGAAAGUCAGUGAAGAAGGGAGAAUCUGUCACUUUAGAUUCUGGUGAAGCAAGGAAAUCAAAAAAUGUGACUAUGUGGUAUUUUUAUGACACUAUCAUCGCCAGAGAUCAGAGUAAAGAUCUUAACGAGAGAUUCAGAGACAGACUGAAGCUGGAUCAUCAGACUGGAUCUCUGACCAUCACAAACACCAGAACCACAGAUGCUGGAGAAUAUCAUCUACAGAUCAGCAGCUGCAGAUUCAGCAUCAUUAGGAGCUUCAGUGUUUCUGUCACUGACGGAGGAGGGUCAUGAAGAUCAAAGAAGAUCUUAACAAGAUCACUUUGUGUCUGCAACAUUAUUCCCAUUGACAUGAAUCAGCAAAAACACACUUCAGUAGUUGAGCUGUUGCAGUUUAUUAACCUGGAAUAUAUCUACAUUUAUCAUUUAACAUGCUAGUUGUAAUAAAUGCCUUUGUUUAAGAUUAUGGAUUAGUGAAGUGCUUGUGGAAGAGGUUUGUUUUCAGCUGUUUCUUGAAGGUUGAGAUGGUUUCAGCAGAUCAGAUGGAGUCAAGUGUUUCUGAAAGAGACUCAUUGUGAUGAAACACUGGGUGGUGCUUAUUCACUGUAGUUACUUCAUUAUUAUGUAUUCAGUUCAACAAUAACCUACUUUUAGCAUUCACCAAUCUUGAUAAAUUCAUAGAACAAAUGCUUUGUAAUAUUUAGGAAGAUAGAAACACUCAGUUCAGCAUUUUACACUAUAUUUGCACUGUGACAACUUAAACCUUUAAGAAAAACCUACAUGAGCUCUCAGGACAGUCAGCAUCAUUUAAAAAAUGUAUCAAAUGGACAAAUGUGAAGAGAAUUUGCACUAUACAUAUUGUACUGUAAGUUUUCACUUGAUUUGUUAUCAGUGUACUGUUUUUGCAUACUACAAUGUGCAAAGUGUAUAAUAAUUGAUACACUUUGUUUUGCUUCAAACCAAAGAUUGUAUUAUUGUGAUUCAGCGCAGAGCUGGUUUGUUUGGUUCAUUAGAACUCAAUAGAA
Ctenopharyngodon idella (grass carp) is the source of this 1371-nucleotide long non-coding RNA. RefSeq lists it as uncharacterized. The record is from RefSeq and is a predicted model, not a curated record. The transcript has 3 exons. NCBI's taxonomy places the organism in Eukaryota, Metazoa, Chordata, Actinopteri, Cypriniformes, Xenocyprididae.